RNAcentral lists this transfer RNA (71 nucleotides) under bacterium. Its description in RNAcentral is "tRNA-Pro". It matches the Rfam family "tRNA". From Rfam's summary of the family: Transfer RNA (tRNA) molecules are approximately 80 nucleotides in length. Their secondary structure includes four short double-helical elements and three loops (D, anti-codon, and T loops). RNAcentral also lists the same sequence under 1 other name. The record is from RNAcentral.
CGGGCCGUAGUAUAUCGGUAGUAUGCAUGCUUUGGGAGCAUGAGGGCCGAGUUCGAUUCUCGGCGGCCCGA